UAUCGUAUUUCUUGAUUUUAAGUUGAGAUUGAUUUUGUCUUAUAAAAUUAGCUUUAUUUUUAUAAUUUUAUAUACAAAUUUUU
RNAcentral lists this ribosomal RNA (83 nucleotides) under Psilolomia brunneofusca. RNAcentral's name for it is "partial small subunit ribosomal RNA". The record is from RNAcentral. Lineage: Eukaryota; Metazoa; Arthropoda; Insecta; Hemiptera; Coreidae.